GUAUAUUGUAACUUGAAAACUAGCUAAUAUGGAGACAAAGUCCCCAAUAACAGUAGAAAAAUCAAUAAAAAAAAAAAAAAUUGGGAAAAUUUUCCCGAAAUUUUCAUUGUACUAAUGAACUUAAAAUUGUUCAUUUUUUUUUUUUUUUUAUGUUAUGUUUUGAAUUCCCGUAUCUGCGCAGAAAUCUACAAUGUACUUCCUUUUUCUGGUCUCGUUUGUAUGAAACAUUGAGUAAAAUAUAUAUUUAUCAGUCUAGUAUAAAAUAGGAAAGAACGCAAUACCAAUUUCAUUUUUAAUAAUUCCUUUAUAUGAAAAAACGUUACCUGGUGAUAGCGUUUCUUUGUUUACAUUGCAUAUGACGUCAUAACUUAAGUAACGUCACAACUAAAAUCCCUAAAAAUAGAACCAAAAUCGGAAGCGUUACGGUAUUUCCGUUUCUUUUUUUAAAAAAAUAUUUAAGUAACAAAAAAAUAAUUCAUACAGACUUCGUCCCCAUUUACAGGUAAUGCCUGCCUCAUAUAAGGUAUUAUCUAUAUUUACUCCUGUAAGAUAACUGCUAAAGCUCUACAGUGUAUAUCUGACGAUUAUAAUCAUGAUAAUAAGUAUUUGACAUUAUUUUGAAAUCAGAAAAAGUGAAGGAUGACAGGAUGGCCCGCUAAAAAAACUGUACCUCAGUCAUCACUUCUUUUGUUUGCUAUAAACUCAUUCCAGACAUUGAAAAGAC
Molecule: long non-coding RNA, 724 nt
Filed under: Mytilus galloprovincialis (Mediterranean mussel)
Lineage: Eukaryota; Metazoa; Mollusca; Bivalvia; Mytilida; Mytilidae
Source: RNAcentral